This is a long non-coding RNA of Prosopis cineraria, 4248 nucleotides long. RefSeq lists it as uncharacterized. Lineage: Eukaryota; Viridiplantae; Streptophyta; Magnoliopsida; Fabales; Fabaceae. The record is from RefSeq and is a predicted model, not a curated record. The transcript has 4 exons.
UCCAGAUCCUACCGCUUUAAGGGUCCAAGUGAAAAAGAUGUUUUGGCCACCACUGGGAAUCCGGAGCUCCAAAGGAGAAGAAGGGUAGCAUCCUACAAUACGUAUGCCAGGGAAUCUAAGUUCAAAUCCACCCUCCGCAACAGUUUCAACUUUCAAGUGGAUCAAAAGGAAGCUUAUGGUUGACUAUUAAGGUGUAUGAAAAAGCAACCUCUUCUUGAGUCCCUUCCCGUGAACACAAACUCGUAAAACUCUCCUCAACUUGAAGCAACUUGGAACUAUCGCAUUAACCGCGCUUGUAGAGAGAACGAAAUAAAGCUUAAUGUGCCAUAUAGGAUUAAAUUCGCGACCUCCCAUUGACAAAGAAAUUUAUUUACCAUCAAGCUACAAGGUCAUUGGCAAUGCGAGUUCUUCUGUGCUUAAAACCAUAGAAAAGGAAGAAUUUCUAACCGAGCUCAACGUUGAAUUUGAAAUCUUUAUAUCUGCCCAGAAAUUUUCCAUAUUUGUGGGCACUUAAAAUCAUUCAAAAGGAAGAAUUUCUGACCGAAGUCAAGGUAAGCACGACUUAAAUAGAUGUAUAUGGUAGACAACAUUUUCUAACCACCAUAGUACCAUACAUAAAUGCUCUAACUCUUUUAUUGUGGAAAAUGACACAGCUUCCAAGAGGGAAGAGUGACUCAAAUAAAUACCAAGAGAAAAGGCUAAAAAACAUAAACGCUUGGGUACAAUUUAGGCAAAUUAUUGCGAGAAUUAGAGUAGUAGUAAAGGAAUGGCAGAGCCUCACACUUGUGGAUCUUAUAAAAUUGGGACUCUUUCUUUUACAUUUCAUCUGGAGGGCACUUCAAGCGAUCUAUUCCUCAAUUUCGGUUACCCAACCUCUUGUUUAAUUUAAUGAGAUUAGGCAACUUGUCCGGAUCAAACCGAUAAUCCACGGCAGAAAAGGAAUGGCGAAAUUGAGCUGGGUCGCUGUCUUCCUUGCCACUCAUCAUGGCCUGCAAGUAGCUGCUGUGGUUCUUGAUGUUCUUGAGAGCAUUGGGAUGCGCUUCAGUCCUGGGAGAUCUUUUCUCACCUCUCGACACAAAUACUGGAGAGAGAGUCAGUGACGUAUUCAAGCUCCCUUCUGUUGUACAUUGUUUUGAGCUCGACGAUGUGCUGCUCACACUAUUCCCCGUUUCUAACCCACACAUGCUUCCUUCCUCGUUCUUCUUCUGUUACAAGGGCUACAUGAUUUCAGAUGGUAAAAUGACGCUCUUCAAAGAGAUUCUUAGAUAUACUGUCACAAGGCCUUUUAAGAUUAGACAAACCAAAGCUAUAUUUGUUUUAUUUGUGAUUAUCACAUCACAUAAACAGCAGUUGGCGGAAGGGGACACCUCUUUUGACGAUUCUGAAUUCCUCGCGAGCUGUGCAGCAGCAAUUUUAUUCUUUUCUGACUGACUCACGUUACUUGUCUGGGGCAUUUGUCCUUUCUUGGAAGACCUAUGCCUACGAAUAUCACGGAAAGCAACCAAGUCACAGACUAGAAGGAGCCUAGCACUCAACACCAUUUUCACGUAGUGAAAGAAAAAGGAUAUUUGACGUAAUGAGAAAAUAACUUACUUUUUGCGCCUUCUAGUAUGUGACCGCUCAUCCUUCUCUUUGUAUAUUACUGGUAGUGCUGAAAGAGGGCAUGGUAAAGGACUGGUCUUGAAGAACUGAAAGCACAAAAACCAAUUUAGCAUAUAAAUGUGAUGCAAAUGUUGCUUAUAUACUUAAGGAAACAAUGCGAAGAUUUCAGCAAUGAAUGAAGGAAUUCAUUUUUUAAAAGAUAAGGAAGAAGAAGGAAAGAGCUCACUUCAGCUUGGAGAGCAGAGGCAGCAGUGCCGCGAUAGUUAGGAUCAAGAUCGAGAAGCGUAGUUAAGAGGCCAACAGAAGAGGGAGGAAAAUCCCUGAAGGCUUCUUCAUAAUUAGGCUUGUAAUGUGGUGGCCGGUAACUUGUCAUCAGCUUCAAUUUCUUCCAGUAAUCCUCCGUUGGAGAACCACAUAGUUUGAAGAUCAUGUGCAGUUGUUCGACCUAACACCCAUUCCAUUCCAGCCCUAAAUCAUUAGGUAUAAAUAUUCCAAAAAUAUAGUUUUUUCAGUUAAGAAAAUUUGAAGCACCUCAGUCCUGCCAGGCAUGAUUGGCUUUCCAAAAAACAUCUCGGCCAAGAGGCAUCCAGCACUCCAGAGAUCGAUGGCGAAUCCAUAGUCAGUUGAACCCAAAAGUAAUUCAGGAGCUCUGUACCAGAGGGUGACCACUCGAUUGGUAAAAGGCCCUUUUGGUUUAAGAUCAAAAGAAUUUGCCAGCCCAAAAUCUGCAACUUUCAGCACCCCUUUCUUAUCUAUCAGCAAGUUUGAAGCCUUUAUGUCUCGGUGCAUCACUCCCCUCUCAUGGCAAUGCUGGAGUCCAGAAAGCAAUUGCUGCAUAUAGCACUUAAUCUGCAGCAAACACGACCAUCCACUCAAUCACAUGUUUGUCAGACAAGUUGCUUGAGAAUUCUUAAAACAUAAUCUUCCAACCUGCGGUUCGGUGAGUUUCUCCCCAGGGCGGGUGAUGACACGGGUAAGGUCGGACUGCAUGUAAUCAAAGACUAGGUAGAGACUGUACUGCAUCCUUGAGGUGGCUAUGCCUUCAAGCUUGAUGACAUUGGGAUGGUCCAGCUUCUGCAGAAUCAUGAUUUCUCUUGCCAUGAACUUUAUGCUUUCCGAAUCCGAUGUGUCAAAGCGGACCUUCUUCAUGGCAACAGUCUUUCCCGUUGCCUUAUCUCUGGCUUUGUACACGUUGCUGUAUGUUCCUCGUCCCACCUGGAACCCAAAUGCACCAAGCAUGUUCGUGAUGUUGCUGCAGGUUUUUUCUUGUAAUCAUAAGAGCGUAAAGCAUUAUCUUUGAUCAUAACCGGAAAAAAGGGAUUCCACAAAACACAGAAAUACCAUCUUGGUUAACGGAAAAAGGGUGAGGAAAAAUUGAAUAAAAUCUGUUAAUUUACGUUGCAUUUCCAAUGCAAGCAUGCAAACUUGGACGAGGAUGAUAAUGUCAACUGAUAUAGUUAGUACUUGGGAAUGAAGCAUGAAACAAUAAGAUGGAUAAAAGAAAUGUAUGUGUGAAGCAGCAAGUUUUGCAACAAGUGUAAGGAAUUACCUUGGCAAGCAUCUCAUAACAAUCAGCGCUCUUGGGAACCAGGGAGGCCAAAACUUGUGCAGGUACAUUAUCAACCAACCACUUAGGCCACGCCCCCACGGACACAUCUUUUCCAAUCUUAUUGUCCACAAAUCUCUUUCUUGAAACAUUACCACCCUCAUUCUUCUCUGCUCUAGCAACCACUCUUUCUCCGCCGGCUUCUUCUCUGACACCACCAUUCUCUGCUGUCCUUGAAGUUGAAAUCGUAUGUUGCAACUUGUUAUCGGGAGGUGGCCUCAGAUUAUUGCAGCUACGGCUCGUGGAUCUGGCUGCCCUGCUUUGAUUGCCAUGGCCAUUGUCCUCUUUCCGCCUCUCGUCUCGAGAGGGAGAAAGCUUGGCGUUUACGCAACCCAUGGCGACACAGAAGCAUGAGACAGAGAGGUUCUGGAUUGCUCGGAGAUGUGAAAGGCUGUUUUGGCCGGCUUGGUUUUGAUUCUUCAGGAUUGCUAUGUAACAGAAGCAUGGGAUGAUGCUUUCUCCGUCAAUUGACGAUUGAAGAGAUGAAUGGGAUGACUGUGUUUGGAUUAUUCCCCCAUAAUCAACAACAGAGACACUAUGUUGGUAACGAACCCGGCAGAUUUCAAAUUGUUUUCUGAAAUGACCGGCGCUACAUACGCCAAAAAGUUGAACGUCUAAACAAAUGCCUUAUCAUGCUACAGUUUGAUUCUGAAGUUCUGGACAAAUCUCAUUUGGCACAACCACCUAAUAAUAAGUUCACCCGAUUCGUCGCGGUGAUUAAAAAAUGCUCAAGGUGUGCCUCAAAGCUGCAUUUUCACUAUUUUCAAUGAUUUAUCUGUUUUGAGCUUAUUUUGUUGGUGCUGAUGGACUUAGAAAACCCUGAGAGGUCAUGCAGUUGAUUGAGAUUUAGUAGAAAGAGAGACGAAUCGAAUCGAUUUGUUUUACAGUAUAAAUCCAGGCAAACCAACCCAAAGAGAUUUAACUUUUCGGGGAAACUAACCACAUUUUGCUAUCAACAAAGUCUCUGAAAAUGGGACUUGCUAUCGAUAUGAUAUGACAUAGUAGUGUUGUUAUGUAUUCAGUCUGGGUGACUUGAACUU